Molecule: ribosomal RNA, 467 nt
Filed under: uncultured bacterium
Lineage: Bacteria
Description: partial 16S ribosomal RNA
Rfam family: Bacterial small subunit ribosomal RNA
Source: RNAcentral
GACGAACGCUGGCGGCGUGCUUAACACAUGCAAGUCGAACGGAAAGGCCUCUUUCGGGGGGUACUCGAGUGGCGAACGGGUGAGUAACACGUGAGUAACCUGCCCUUGACUUUGGGAUAACUUCAGGAAACUGGGGCUAAUACCGGAUAGGAGCUCCUGCUGCAUGGUGGGGGUUGGAAAGUUUCGGCGGUUGGGGAUGGACUCGCGGCUUAUCAGCUUGUUGGUGGGGUAGUGGCUUACCAAGGCUUUGACGGGUAGCCGGCCUGGGAGGGUGACCGGCCACAGUGGGACUGGGAUACGGCCCAGACUCCUACGGGAGGCAGCGGUGGGGAAUGUUGCACAAUGGGUGGAGGCCUGAUGCAGCAACGCCGUGUGCGGGAUGACGGCCUUCGGGUUGUAAACCGCUUUCGCUCAUGACGAAGCUUUGUGUGACGGUAGUGGGUAAAGAAGCACCGGCUAACUACGUG